UGUGGGUUUGGAAUAACAGGCAGGAAGAUGCCCCGAAGGGAGCAUUUGGAGAGAGAGAAGCAGGACCCCGGGAGGCGUCAAUGUCCUUGCCGUGGCACCAUCAUGUCUUUGCUCCAUGGAGAAGAGAUGAAAACGGGAGCCUCUUUGCUGCAAAGCCGAUGAGGCCAAGCUCCCAAAGCGAGAAGCAAAACAUAGGCAAGGAGCAGCAUCUCUCACCCCGGCAGGAUCCUGCUAGGAUCACGAUGGGAUGCACAUCAGCCGAGAUCGUCCACCUGGAGAGCUGUGACUCCAUGGCACCAACUGUGGGUGGCAGGCCCACUGGGUGAGCACCAGAGGAAAUGAAGAAGUGGAAUUCUCUCAUGGGACUUGUACAUUGAGUGCAAAUAAACAGAAGACAGUCAGUGCCAACACAUCUGAUGGUGGCACCUAAUGGGAAGUCCACAGGACCCCCUGCAGAGAUUCCUAGAGCUGCCCUAAUCCCUCCCUUUCCCGAGCACUGGUUUUUCUGAUUUUCUCAAUUUUUUAAUAAGUUAGAAGUCAUUCCUGUGGCUUGCAGAAUAGAACCUAA
Long non-coding RNA from Homo sapiens (human), 568 nucleotides. RefSeq lists it as uncharacterized. Lineage: Eukaryota; Metazoa; Chordata; Mammalia; Primates; Hominidae. The record is from RefSeq and is a predicted model, not a curated record. The transcript has 3 exons.